RNAcentral lists this ribosomal RNA (778 nucleotides) under uncultured bacterium. RNAcentral describes it as "bacterial SSU rRNA". It matches the Rfam family "Bacterial small subunit ribosomal RNA", at positions 62 to 807 of the family's 1533-position model. The record is from RNAcentral.
UCGAACGAAACUUCUUUAUCACCGAGUGCUUGCACUCACCGAUAAAGAGUUGAGUGGCGAACGGGUGAGUAACACGUGGGCAACCUGCCCAAAAGAGGGGGAUAACACUUGGAAACAGGUGCUAAUACCGCAUAACCAUAGUUACCGCAUGGUAACUAUGUAAAAGGUGGCUAUGCUACCGCUUUUGGAUGGGCCCGCGGCGCAUUAGCUAGUUGGUGGGGUAAAGGCUUACCAAGGCAAUGAUGCGUAGCCGAACUGAGAGGUUGAUCGGCCACAUUGGGACUGAGACACGGCCCAAACUCCUACGGGAGGCAGCAGUAGGGAAUCUUCCACAAUGGGCGAAAGCCUGAUGGAGCAACGCCGCGUGGGUGAAGAAGGUCUUCGGAUCGUAAAACCCUGUUGUUAGAGAAGAAAGUGCGUGAGAGUAACUGUUCACGUUUCGACGGUAUCUAACCAGAAAGCCACGGCUAACUACGUGCCAGCAGCCGCGGUAAUACGUAGGUGGCAAGCGUUAUCCGGAUUUAUUGGGCGUAAAGGGAACGCAGGCGGUCUUUUAAGUCUGAUGUGAAAGCCUUCGGCUUAACCGGAGUAGUGCAUUGGAAACUGGGAGACUUGAGUGCAGAAGAGGAGAGUGGAACUCCAUGUGUAGCGGUGAAAUGCGUAGAUAUAUGGAAGAACACCAGUGGCGAAAGCGGCUCUCUGGUCUGUAACUGACGUUGAGGCUCGAAAGCGUGGGGAGCAAACAGGAUUAGAUACCCUGGUAGUCCACGCCGUAAAC